GCCCUUACGGGGGCASAGGCGCGAAACCUUUACACUGCGGGAAACCSGAUAAGGGGACACCGAGUGCCAGCAUACAAUGCUGCUGGUCCACAUGUGUAAAUAGCAUGUGAUAGCAAGGGCCGGGCAAGACCGGUGCCAGCCGCCGCGUAACACCGGCGCCCGAGUGGUAAUCACUAUUAUUGGGUCUAAAGGGUCCGUAGCCGGUUUAAUCGGUCUUCCGGGAAAUCUGACAGCUCAACUGUUAGGCUACCGGGGGAUACUGUUAGACUUGGGACCGGGAGAGGUAAGAGGUACUACAGGGGUAGGAGUGAAAUCUUGUAAUCCCUGUGGACCACCAGUGGCGAAGGCGUCUUACCAGAACGGGUCCGACGGUGAGGGACGAAAGCUGGGGGCACGAACCGGAUUAGAUACCCGGGUAGUCCCAGCCGUAAACGAUGCUCGCUAGUGUCUGGAAUGGUGCGACCGUUUCAGGUGCCGCAGGAAGCCGUGAAGCGAGCCACCUUGGAGUACGGCCG
Molecule: ribosomal RNA, 515 nt
Filed under: uncultured archaeon
Lineage: Archaea
Description: bacterial SSU rRNA
Rfam family: Archaeal small subunit ribosomal RNA
Source: RNAcentral